This 89-nucleotide transfer RNA is filed under the name Candidatus Pacearchaeota archaeon. Its description in RNAcentral is "tRNA-Arg". It matches the Rfam family "tRNA". From Rfam's summary of the family: Transfer RNA (tRNA) molecules are approximately 80 nucleotides in length. Their secondary structure includes four short double-helical elements and three loops (D, anti-codon, and T loops). The record is from RNAcentral. Lineage: Archaea; Nanobdellati.
GGCCCUGUAGCCUAGUCUGGAUAAGGCGACAGCCUUCUAGGUUCUACAAAGAAAGCUGUAGAUCGGGGGUUCGAAUCCCCUCAGGGCCG